AUACGUAGGUGGCAAGCGUUGUCCGGAAUUAUUGGGCGUAAAGCGCGCGCAGGUGGUUCCUUAAGUCUGAUGUGAAAGCCCCCGGCUCAACCGGGGAGGGUCAUUGGAAACUGGGGAACUUGAGUGCAGAAGAGGAUAGUGGAAUUCCAAGUGUAGCGGUGAAAUGCGUAGAGAUUUGGAGGAACACCAGUGGCGAAGGCGACUGUCUGGUCUGUAACUGACACUGAGGCGCGUAAGCGUGGGGAGCAAACAGGAUUAGAUACCCUGGUAGUCCACGCCGUAAACGAUGAGUGCUAAGUGUUGGGGGGUUUCCGCCCCUCAGUGCUGCAGCUAACGCAUUAAGCACUCCGCCUGGGGAGUACGGUCGCAAGACUGAAACUCAAAGGAAUUGACGGGG
Molecule: ribosomal RNA, 397 nt
Filed under: uncultured bacterium
Lineage: Bacteria
Description: partial 16S ribosomal RNA
Rfam family: Bacterial small subunit ribosomal RNA
Source: RNAcentral